CUCGUAGGCGGUUCGUCGCGUCCGGUGUAAAAGUCCAUCGCUUAACGGUGGAUCCGCGCCGGGUACGGGCGGGCUUGAGUGCGGUAGGGGAGACUGGAAUUCCCGGUGUAACGGUGGAAUGUGUAGAUAUCGGGAAGAACACCAAUGGCGAAGGCAGGUCUCUGGGCCGUCACUGACGCUGAGGAGCGAAAGCGUGGGGAGCGAACA
RNAcentral lists this ribosomal RNA (207 nucleotides) under uncultured bacterium. Its description in RNAcentral is "partial 16S ribosomal RNA". It matches the Rfam family "Bacterial small subunit ribosomal RNA", at positions 568 to 774 of the family's 1533-position model. The record is from RNAcentral.